Molecule: transfer RNA, 75 nt
Filed under: Juncus validus
Lineage: Eukaryota; Viridiplantae; Streptophyta; Magnoliopsida; Poales; Juncaceae
Description: tRNA-His
Rfam family: tRNA
About the family: Transfer RNA (tRNA) molecules are approximately 80 nucleotides in length. Their secondary structure includes four short double-helical elements and three loops (D, anti-codon, and T loops).
Source: RNAcentral
GGCGGACGUAGCCAAGUGGACCAAGGCAGCGGAUUGUGAAUCCACCAUGCGCGGGUUCAAUUCCCGUCGUUCGCC